This 729-nucleotide ribosomal RNA is filed under the name uncultured bacterium. Its description in RNAcentral is "bacterial SSU rRNA". It matches the Rfam family "Bacterial small subunit ribosomal RNA", at positions 28 to 750 of the family's 1533-position model. The record is from RNAcentral.
GAUGAACGCUGGCGGCGUGCCUAAUACAUGCAAGUCGAACGAAGAGAUAGCUUGCUAUCUCUUAGUGGCGAACGGGUGAGUAAUACAUAAACAAUCUGCCCAUACGACUGGGAUAACCGUUGGAAACGAUGGCUAAUACCGGAUAGGUGAGAAGGAGGCAUCUUCUUCUUAUUAAAGUUGGGAUACAACACGUGUGGAUGAGUUUAUGGCGCAUUAGCUAGUUGGCGGGGUAACGGCCCACCAAGGCGAUGAUGCGUAGCCGACCUGAGAGGGUGACCGGCCACACUGGGACUGAGACACGGCCCAGACUCCUACGGGAGGCAGCAGUAGGGAAUUUUCGGCAAUGGGGGAAACCCUGACCGAGCAACGCCGCGUGAGUGAUGAAGGCCUUCGGGUUGUAAAGCUCUGUUGUAAGGGAAGAACGGCGAUGAUAGGGAAUGAUCAUCGAGUGACGGUACCUUACCAGAAAGCCACGGCUAACUACGUGCCAGCAGCCGCGGUAAUACGUAGGUGGCAAGCGUUAUCCGGAAUUAUUGGGCGUAAAGGGUGCGUAGGCGGCCAUUUAAGUCUAAGGUGAAAGUUCGAGGCUCAACUUCGAAUUGCCUUAGAAACUGGGUGGCUAGAGUGCAGGAGAGGGCAAUGGAAUUCCAUGUGUAGCGGUAAAAUGCGUAGAUAUAUGGAGGAACACCAGUGGCGAAGGCGGUUGCCUGGCCUGUAACUGACGCUGAA